Molecule: ribosomal RNA, 497 nt
Filed under: uncultured bacterium
Lineage: Bacteria
Description: partial 16S ribosomal RNA
Rfam family: Bacterial small subunit ribosomal RNA
Source: RNAcentral
GAUGAACGCUGGCGGCGUGCCUAAUACAUGCAAGUCGAGCGAACAGACGAGGAGCUUGCUCCUCUGACGUUAGCGGCGGACGGGUGAGUAACACGUGGAUAACCUACCUAUAAGACUGGGAUAACUUCGGGAAACCGGAGCUAAUACCGGAUAAUAUAUUGAACCGCAUGGUUCAAUAGUGAAAGACGGUUUUGCUGUCACUUAUAGAUGGAUCCGCGCCGCAUUAGCUAGUUGGUAAGGUAACGGCUUACCAAGGCAACGAUGCGUAGCCGACCUGAGAGAGUGAUCGGCCACACUGGAACUGAGACACGGUCCAGACUCCUACGGGAGGCAGCAGUAGGGAAUCUUCCGCAAUGGGCGAAAGCUUGACGGAGCAACGCCGCGUGAGUGAUGAAGAUCUUCGGAUCGUAAAACUCUGUUAUUAGGGAAGAACAAAUGUGUAAGUAACUAUGCACGUCUUGACGGUACCUAAUCAGAAAGCCACGGCUAACUACGUG